Molecule: long non-coding RNA, 240 nt
Organism: Heteronotia binoei (common prickly gecko)
Lineage: Eukaryota; Metazoa; Chordata; Lepidosauria; Squamata; Gekkonidae
Exons: 2
Source: RefSeq, a predicted model, not a curated record
GUUUAUAGCAGUGAUUUUAACUGGAUUUUCUUAUCCACACCAAUAAAAACCCACUGAAAGCCUCUGCCUGGAAGCGUCCCAAAGGAAACUGAGUUAUAAACAAACUGUAUCAAACCAGCUGUUUAUUUCUUGAAACACCCAUAUCCUUCUUUGUCCAGCCACCACUACAUCAGCAUUGUGCUAAUUAACACAGAAUCUAGGAAUCAUUUGGCUACAGAAGAAUUGAAGCAGCAGGUGGAA